This is a non-coding RNA of Acyrthosiphon pisum (pea aphid), 47 nucleotides long. The record is from Rfam. Lineage: Eukaryota; Metazoa; Arthropoda; Insecta; Hemiptera; Aphididae.
UAAAAAGUCCUUUUCAGGACUACCAAAUUUUAAAAUGCUUAUUACCU